UACGUAGGGGGCAAGCGUUAUCCGGAAUUACUGGGUGUAAAGGGAGCGUAGACGGUUAAGUAAGUCUGGAGUGAAAACCCGGGGCCCAACCCCGGGAGUGCAUUUGAAACUGCCAUGCUGGAGUGCCGGAGAGGUAAGCGGAAUUCCUAGUGUAGCGGUGAAAUGCGUAGAUAUUAGGAGGAACACCAGUGGCGGAGGCGGCUUACUGGACGGUAACUGACGCUGAGGCUCGAAAGCGUGGGGAGCAAACAGG
RNAcentral lists this ribosomal RNA (253 nucleotides) under uncultured Eubacteriales bacterium. Its description in RNAcentral is "uncultured Clostridiales bacterium partial 16S ribosomal RNA". It matches the Rfam family "Bacterial small subunit ribosomal RNA", at positions 524 to 776 of the family's 1533-position model. Lineage: Bacteria; Bacillati; Bacillota; Clostridia; Eubacteriales. The record is from RNAcentral.